UUGGAGAGGUGAUCCUGGCUCAGAACGAACGCUGGCGGCAUGCCUAACACAUGCAAGUCGAACGAUCCCUUCGGGGAUAGUGGCGCACGGGUGCGUAACGCGUGGGAAUCUGCCCUUUGGUUCGGAAUAACAGUUAGAAAUGACUGCUAAUACCGGAUGAUGACUUCGGUCCAAAGAUUUAUCGCCAGAGGAUGAGCCCGCGUAGGAUUAGGUAGUUGGUGGGGUAAAGGCCUACCAAGCCGACGAUCCUUAGCUGGUCUGAGAGGAUGAUCAGCCACACUGGGACUGAGACACGGCCCAGACUCCUACGGGAGGCAGCAGUGGGGAAUAUUGGACAAUGGGGGAAACCCUGAUCCAGCAAUGCCGCGUGAGUGAUGAAGGCCUUAGGGUCGUAAAGCUCUUUUACCCGGGAUGAUAAUGACAGUACCGGGAGAAUAAUAAGUCCCGGCUAA
RNAcentral lists this ribosomal RNA (452 nucleotides) under Novosphingobium sp. RNAcentral's name for it is "bacterial SSU rRNA". It matches the Rfam family "Bacterial small subunit ribosomal RNA", at positions 1 to 500 of the family's 1533-position model. Lineage: Bacteria; Pseudomonadati; Pseudomonadota; Alphaproteobacteria; Sphingomonadales; Sphingomonadaceae. The record is from RNAcentral.